RNAcentral lists this ribosomal RNA (252 nucleotides) under uncultured bacterium. RNAcentral describes it as "partial 16S ribosomal RNA". It matches the Rfam family "Bacterial small subunit ribosomal RNA", at positions 524 to 775 of the family's 1533-position model. The record is from RNAcentral.
UACGUAGGGGGCUAGCGUUGUCCGGAAUCAUUGGGCGUAAAGCGCGUGUAGGCGGUCCGGUAAGUCCGCUGUGAAAGUCGAGGGCUCAACCCUCGAAUGCCGGUGGAUACUGUCGGGCUUGAGUACGGGAGAGGCGAGUGGAAUUCCUGGUGUAGCGGUGAAAUGCGCAGAUAUCAGGAGGAACACCGAUUGCGAAGGCAGCUCGCUGGAACGUUACUGACGCUGAGACGCGAAAGCGUGGGGAGCAACAGG